GAUGAACGCUGGCGGCGUGCCUAAUACAUGCGAGUCGAGCGAACGGACGAGAAGCUUGCUCCUCUGAUGUUAGCGGCGGACGGGUGAGUAACACGUGGAUAACCUACCUAUAAGACUGGGAUAACUUCGGGAAACCGGAGCUAAUACCGGAUAAUAUUUUGAACCGCAUGGUUCAAAAGUGAAAGACGGUCUUGCUGUCACUUAUAGAUGGAUCCGCGCUGCAUUAGCUAGUUGGUAAGGUAACGGCUUACCAAGGCAACGAUGCAUAGCCGACCUGAGAGGGUGAUCGGCCACACUGGAACUGAGACACGGUCCAGACUCCUACGGGAGGCAGCAGUAGGGAAUCUUCCGCAAUGGGCGAAAGCCUGACGGAGCAACGCCGCGUGAGUGAUGAAGGUCUUCGGAUCGUAAAACUCUGUUAUUAGGGAAGAACAUAUGUGUAAGUAACUGUGCACAUCUUGACGGUACCUAAUCAGAAAGCCACGGCUAACUACGUG
This 497-nucleotide ribosomal RNA is filed under the name uncultured bacterium. RNAcentral describes it as "partial 16S ribosomal RNA". It matches the Rfam family "Bacterial small subunit ribosomal RNA", at positions 28 to 507 of the family's 1533-position model. The record is from RNAcentral.